GCCUUCGUAGCUCAGUUGGGAGAGCGUGGCACUUGUAUGCACUUGUACGCGUACUAUACCUUGUACGCGAAGUGAUGCCAAGGUCUGUGGUUCGAUUCCGCACGGAGGCA
This 110-nucleotide transfer RNA is filed under the name Chloropicon primus. It matches the Rfam family "tRNA". From Rfam's summary of the family: Transfer RNA (tRNA) molecules are approximately 80 nucleotides in length. Their secondary structure includes four short double-helical elements and three loops (D, anti-codon, and T loops). Lineage: Eukaryota; Viridiplantae; Chlorophyta; Chloropicophyceae; Chloropicales; Chloropicaceae. The record is from Rfam by way of RNAcentral.